RNAcentral lists this small RNA (89 nucleotides) under Flavobacterium aquicola. Its description in RNAcentral is "Flavo-1 RNA". It matches the Rfam family "Flavo-1 RNA". The record is from RNAcentral. Lineage: Bacteria; Pseudomonadati; Bacteroidota; Flavobacteriia; Flavobacteriales; Flavobacteriaceae.
UUUUUGCGUGAGGGAUUGAAGUGGAGCUCUUUUUAUAUUUGGCACUUUUACCAAAUAUAAAAAAGCGGGAACGGAAAGCCCGACCCAGA